This is a long non-coding RNA of Amphibalanus amphitrite, 1616 nucleotides long. RefSeq lists it as uncharacterized. The record is from RefSeq and is a predicted model, not a curated record. The transcript has 3 exons. Lineage: Eukaryota; Metazoa; Arthropoda; Thecostraca; Balanomorpha; Balanidae.
UUCUGAGUUUUUUUUUCUGAUUAUUACCAGCAAGUAGUUAAUAAGAAUUAUCAUAUACUUUUGUAAAUGUAGAAAUAUUGUGUCCCACCGACCAGCUGUGGUGACGCCAGUCGCCAACAGCUACAGCGCUUUUCCAGGAGGCUUCAGUUAUUCUGUGACUGGUGACCAAGGCACGACACAUCACCCAGUAACUCACAAUCUCGCUGGCGGAGUGUUGCUGAGCAGCUGACCAACUGCGGCUGCUGGAGCGUUUCUCAGUCGUCGUCGUCGACCUCCGUAGACUGUCAAGCCUCCCUGACCUUCUGCGACUCAAGAAGGAGGGAUUUUUAUCUGUGUUUACCAUACAAGAGACAUUUUAAUCUGACGAUUCGAUCGGAUCUGGAUCAUGAAUAUUCCCGAGGCGGUGUGACAGAUGGUCGAGGCCGGCGCGCCACGCCAGACGCCUUCUCGCGCGGGGCGUGCUCAGGUCAGUCAGGUUGCGCUGCCGGACUCUGUUCCGAGGAGAGAAGCACAUAAGCGCAGUCAGGACGCGAGUGUGGUUGCACCGCCCCGGUCCCAGCAACUGCAUGGCGGUGGGGACUCACAGCCCGGCUGAUGGUUCCAGAUCGUCUCAGCGCAGCUUCUUCUCCGGACCCCGGCGCGGCAGCGAGGCUGGUGGUUCGGAGCUGACUGAUGGAGGACGGCAAAAGAACAGCAGGACAGGACAUCACCCUAACAGUAGCCUUCGGUCAUGUGGCGAGAGCUGGGCCCCGGACCGGUCGAAACUGAAAGGGUGCUCACUGCUCAGCUGAGUGGGUAAAGUCCGCGUCUCGUUAGUGUCCCCGGGCCCGGCCAGGUCCUGAAGGGUAGAUGAGGGCGGGAUAUUCUCCUUUAUAGACGCAGAGCAAUGCCAGAAGAAUGGUUUUGCGAUCGAGUUGCAUGCGCUGUCCCUGCCUGGGUAACCCAUGUUUUGUGGCCAGCGUGUUACGAACCCACGUAGUGGUUUGACCCCGUGGGGUGCUGUGAGACAGCGCGGAGCGACGCGUGGAUGCUGCUGAAACACGCUGAUGUUUGUGUGUACCUAUCGUCAUUUUGAAGUGCUGCUUGAGUUUGCUCGUUUGUUUAGUCUUACUGUUUUGUGUUUUCUACCAAGAUAAUGUCGAUAAGAUUGUUCAAUAAAGUUUGAGUUGAGACUUCCGGACCGGGAAAGACUGAGACGUCUGAACCGGGGCCGGCAAAGGCGUCUAAACCGGGACCGAUUGAGGCAGCUGGACUGGGACCAACGAAUGGCAGCCAGUUCUGGACCGAAAGUGGGAGGGCUGCAUCCGAUGCGCCACCACAUACCGUAUCACUGGCAGCCAUAUGCGUUCCUGUCGCAGGCCACCGUUCACGCUUCAGUUUCGGCGCUGGUGCCCCGGCCGGGUAUAUGCUCUGCUCGGUACACCUAACUAUUGUGAGCAAAACCUCGUAAUCGUACGUCUAAUGCUAUAGUUGUUGUUCAAAUCCGCGUAAAUUAUGACAUUCUGGCAACUAUGCUGACCCAUAACCAAGCAUAGGUCAAUGUUGGCUCAGUCGGCUACGGUCGAAGUUAUGGUGUUUUUCCAGCCGAUAAUGCAUCAAUAUAAACUCCUUCCACA